AUCACUUCUCUGCCUUUUGGUGGAGAUCAAGUGUACUAUCUGUUCUUCUGAGUUUUCUCCCUGAUAAGUUCCCUAUCUAGGGACCAUAUAUUAGAUGGAUUUUUUGACAACUGGGGCCAAUUUCGAAGCUUGCUCCCAGCGCCCCAUGCUUCGACCCUAUAUGGGUAUACUAGGGCCCCCUGGACCUGAU
Molecule: small nuclear RNA, 190 nt
Organism: Hyla sarda
Lineage: Eukaryota; Metazoa; Chordata; Amphibia; Anura; Hylidae
Product: U2 spliceosomal RNA
Exons: 1
Source: RefSeq, a predicted model, not a curated record